This 828-nucleotide ribosomal RNA is filed under the name uncultured Gemella sp. Its description in RNAcentral is "bacterial SSU rRNA". It matches the Rfam family "Bacterial small subunit ribosomal RNA", at positions 43 to 854 of the family's 1533-position model. The record is from RNAcentral. Lineage: Bacteria; Bacillati; Bacillota; Bacilli; Caryophanales; Gemellaceae.
CGUGCUAAUACAUGCAAGUCGAGCGAAGUUUUUCUGGUGCUUGCACCGGAAAAACUUAGCGGCGAACGGGUGAGUAACACGUAAAGAACCUGCCUCAUAGACUGGGACAACUAUUGGAAACGAUAGCUAAUACCGGAUAACAGCAUUAACUGCAUGGUUGAUGUUAAAAGUUGGUUUUGCUAACACUAUGAGAUGGCUUUGCGGUGCAUUAGCUAGUUGGUGGGGUAAAGGCCUACCAAGGCGACGAUGCAUAGCCGACCUGAGAGGGUGAUCGGCCACACUGGGACUGAGACACGGCCCAGACUCCUACGGGAGGCAGCAGUAGGGAAUCUUCCGCAAUGGGCGAAAGCCUGACGGAGCGACGCCGCGUGAGUGAAGAAGGAUUUCGGUUCGUAAAGCUCUGUUGUUAGGGAAGAAUGAUUGUGUAGUAACUAUACACAGUAGAGACGGUACCUAACCAGAAAGCCACGGCUAACUACGUGCCAGCAGCCGCGGUAAUACGUAGGUGGCAAGCGUUGUCCGGAAUUAUUGGGCGUAAAGCGCGCGCAGGUGGUUUAAUAAGUCUGAUGUGAAAGCCCACGGCUCAACCGUGGAGGGUCAUUGGAAACUGUUAAACUUGAGUGCAGGAGAGAAAAGUGGAAUUCCUAGUGUAGCGGUGAAAUGCGUAGAGAUUAGGAGGAACACCAGUGGCGAAGGCGGCUUUUUGGCCUGUAACUGACACUGAGGCGCGAAAGCGUGGGGAGCAGACAGGAUUAGAUACCCUGGUAGUCCACGCCGUAAACGAUGAGUGCUAAGUGUUGGUCUCAUAAGAGAUCAGUGCUGCAGCUA